Molecule: microRNA, 22 nt
Filed under: Pristionchus pacificus
Lineage: Eukaryota; Metazoa; Nematoda; Chromadorea; Rhabditida; Neodiplogasteridae
Description: ppc-miR-8252a-3p
Source: miRBase by way of RNAcentral
CACUGCCCGCGAGUAGUUGUGG